GUUCUCAUAGUGUAGUGGUUAUCACGUUUGCUUUACAUGCAAAAGGUCAUCGGUUCGAACCCGAUUGGGAACA
Molecule: non-coding RNA, 73 nt
Organism: Blastocladiella britannica
Lineage: Eukaryota; Fungi; Blastocladiomycota; Blastocladiomycetes; Blastocladiales; Blastocladiaceae
Source: the annotation of a GenBank genome assembly